Molecule: ribosomal RNA, 252 nt
Filed under: uncultured bacterium
Lineage: Bacteria
Description: partial 16S ribosomal RNA
Rfam family: Bacterial small subunit ribosomal RNA
Source: RNAcentral
UACGUAGGUGGCGAGCGUUAUCCGGAAUGAUUGGGCGUAAAGCGAGCGCAGGUGGUUUAUUAAGUCUGGUGUAAAAGGCAGUGGCUCAACCAUUGUAUGCAUUGGAAACUGGUAGACUUGAGUGCAGGAGAGGAGAGUGGGAUUCCAUGUGUAGCGGUGAAAUGCGUAGAUAUAUGGAGGAACACCGGUGGCGAAAGCGGCUCUCUGGCCUGUAACUGACACUGAGGCUCGAAAGCGUGGGGAGCAAACAGG